AGGACGAACGCUGGCGGCGUGCUUAACACAUGCAAGUCGAGCGGAAAGGCCCUUCGGGGUACUCGAGCGGCGAACGGGUGAGUAACACGUGAGCAACCUGUCCUUAGCUCUGGGAUAGCUCCGGGAAACCGGAAUUAAUACCGGAUAUUACACCGGCUGGCAUCGGCUGGUGUGGAAAGAUUUAUCGGCUAAGGAUGGACUCGCGGCCUAUCAGCUUGUUGGUGGGGUAGAAGCCUACCAAGGCGACGACGGGUA
This 255-nucleotide ribosomal RNA is filed under the name uncultured bacterium. RNAcentral's name for it is "partial small subunit ribosomal RNA". It matches the Rfam family "Bacterial small subunit ribosomal RNA", at positions 26 to 285 of the family's 1533-position model. The record is from RNAcentral.